GAUGAACGCUAGCGGCAGGCUUUAACACAUGCAAGUCGAGGGGCAGCACGAGGUAGCAAUACUUUGGUGGCGACCGGCGCACGGGUGCGUAACGCGUAUGCAACCUAACCUUUUAAACAAGGGGGCGAUAAACACUGAGAAAAUUGGUACUAAAUUCCCCAUAACAUUCGAGAAGGCAUCUUCUUGGGUUAAAAAACUACCGGUGGUUAAAGAUGGGCAUGCGUUGUAUUAGCUAGUUGGUGAGGUAACGGCUCACCAAGGCAACGAUACAUAGGGGGACUGAGAGGUUAACCCCCCACAUUGGUACUGAGACACGGACCAAACUCCUACGGGAGGCAGCAGUGAGGAAUAUUGGUCAAUGGACGCAAGUCUGAACCAGCCAUGCCGCGUGCAGGAAGACGGCUCUAUGAGUUGUAAACUGCUUUUGUACUAGGGUAAACGCUUCUACGUGUAGGAGCCUGAAAGUAUAGUACGAAUAAGGAUCGGCUAAACUCCGUGCCAGCAGCCGCCGCAGUAAC
This 518-nucleotide ribosomal RNA is filed under the name uncultured bacterium. RNAcentral's name for it is "bacterial SSU rRNA". It matches the Rfam family "Bacterial small subunit ribosomal RNA", at positions 28 to 526 of the family's 1533-position model. The record is from RNAcentral.